Molecule: ribosomal RNA, 484 nt
Filed under: uncultured bacterium
Lineage: Bacteria
Description: partial 16S ribosomal RNA
Rfam family: Bacterial small subunit ribosomal RNA
Source: RNAcentral
AUUGAACGCUGGCGGUAGGCCUAACACAUGCAAGUCGAGCGGAUGAAGGGAGCUUGCUCCUGGAUUCAGCGGCGGACGGGCGAGUAAUGCCUAGGAACCUGCCUGGUAGCGGGGGAUAACGUCCGGAAACGGGCGCUAAUACCGCAUAAGUCCUGAGGGCGUACGUGGGGGAUCUUCGGACCUUCCGCUCUCAGAUGAGCCUAGGUCGGAUUAGCUAGUUGGUGGGGUAAAGGCCUACCAAGGCGACGAUCCGUAACUGGUCUGAGAGGAUGAUCAGUCACACUGGAACUGAGACACGGUCCAGACUCCUACGGGAGGCAGCAGUGGGGAAUAUUGGACAAUGGGCGAAAGCCUGAUCCAGCCAUGCCGCGUGUGUGAAGAAGGUCUUCGGAUUGUAAAGCACUUUUAGUUGGGAGGAAGAGCAGUAGGUUAAUACCUUGCUGUUUUGACGUUACCAACAGAAUAAGCACCGGCUAACUUCGUG